RNAcentral lists this long non-coding RNA (724 nucleotides) under Solanum tuberosum (potato). RNAcentral describes it as "long non-coding RNA (STUB_LNC005220)". The record is from RNAcentral. Lineage: Eukaryota; Viridiplantae; Streptophyta; Magnoliopsida; Solanales; Solanaceae.
UCUUUACAAGCUUUGUCAGCUCAUAUGUGGAGAUGCAUAACAAGGGUUCGAAAAUUCCCAGCUGAUCAUGUAACAAGUUGCAGAAUGGCGAUUAAUAACAGAGCAAGAUUGGAACCUCCAUUGCCAGAAAACUAUUUUGGGAAUUGCAUACAAACUGUUCGAAGGAAUGCCUCAGUGGGAAAACUUCUUGAAAAUAACCUUGGUUGGGCAGCUUGGGAAUUGCAUCAAGCUGUGGUGAAUCAUAAGAAUAAAGAAAUUCGUGAAUGGGUUGAAAAAUUGGAAUGUGGUGUGGUUUAUCAGUUGGGGAGCUUCUGUGAUCCUUGUAGUAUCGUGAUUGGGAGUUCACCACGAUUUGAUAUGUAUGGGAAUGAAUUUGGAUUUGGAAAAGGAGUGGCACUUAGAAGUGGAUAUGCACAUAAGUUUGAUGGGAAAGUGAGUUUAUAUGAAGGAAUUGAAGGUGAUGGUAGCAUGGAUUUGGAAGUGUGCCUUUUACCUGAGGAAUUGCCUCAGCGGGAAAACUUCUUGAAAACAGCCUUGGUUGGGCAGCUUGGGAAAUGCAUGAAGCUGUGGUGAAUCAUAAGAACAAAGAUAUUCGCGAAUGGGUUGAAAAAUUGGAAAGUGGUAUGAUUUAUCAGUUGGGAUUUUUCGAUCCUAGUAGCGUUAUGAUGGGAAGUUCUCCAAGAUUUGAUAUGUAUGGGAAUGAAUUUGGAUUGGGAAAAGGAGU